RNAcentral lists this ribosomal RNA (755 nucleotides) under uncultured cyanobacterium. RNAcentral describes it as "bacterial SSU rRNA". It matches the Rfam family "Bacterial small subunit ribosomal RNA", at positions 8 to 796 of the family's 1533-position model. The record is from RNAcentral. Lineage: Bacteria; Bacillati; Cyanobacteriota.
AGAGUUUGAUCCUGGCUCAGGAUGAACGCUGGCGGUCUGCUUAACACAUGCAAGUCGAACGGAGUAGAAAUACUUAGUGGCGGACGGGUGAGUAACGCGUGAGAAUCUGCCUUCAGGACGGAGACAACAGUUGGAAACGACUGCUAAGCCCCGAUGAACCGAAAGGGAAAAUAUUUAUAGCCUGAAGAUGAGCUCGCGUCUGAUUAGUUAGUUGGCGGGGUAAUGGCCUACCAAGGCGUUGACGGGUAGCUGGUCUGAGAGGAUGUCCAGCCGGAUUGGGACUGAGAUACGGCCCAGACUCCUACGGGGGGCAGCAAUUAGGAAUCUUGCGCAAUGGGCGAAAGCCUGACGCAGCGACGCCGCGUGGGGGAAGAAGGCUUUUGGGUUGUAAACCCCUUUUCUCUGGGAAGAAAGUUGUGAAAGCAACCUGACGGUACCAGAGGAAUCAGCAUCGGCUAACUCCGUGCCAGCAGCCGCGGUAAGACGGAGGAUGCAAGCGUUAUCCGGAAUGAUUGGGCGUAAAGCGUCCGCAGGUGGCAGUUCAAGUCUGCUGUCAAAGACCGGGGCUUAACUUCGGAAAGGCAGUGGAAACUGAACAGCUAGAGUAUGGUAGGGGCAGAGGGAAUUCCUGGUGUAGCGGUGAAAUGCGUAGAGAUCAGGAAGAACAUCGGUGGCGAAGGCGCUCUGCUGGACCAUAACUGACACUCAGGGACGAAAGCUAGGGGAGCGAAUGGGAUUAGAUACCCCCGUAGUCC